UUGUGAGCAGUAUUACGUACAAAGGGUCUGUUCGAUUCAGCUGCACCACUUGAACCAGUUCACGCGGUGCCGCACCUUGCCGUUCGUUUCAGCGGUGUAGCUUAGCACCCCCUGCACCCUAGCGUUCCUUUCAAAAAGUGCAGCAAAGGUGCAGCGCUGGUUCAGGAAUUCUCAGACCCUGCUCUGCCGGUGGUGCCGCGUUGGUGCACACGCGGUUCACGAACUUCCACACUUGAGAGCCGACCACAGCAGACGAUGUCAGCGAACGACUUGCCGAUGCUGUCUGUACUUGUAAACGGGGCGCAAACGCAGGUUACCCCUGUAGUCGACGAGGAUGGGAGUCGCAUUCCCUUCGGCGAUGGUUUUGCCACAGAACGCCAGGUAUGUUAACUCUUUUUAGUCACAUGGGGUCAAUUUCUUGUUGUAAGCUCCUUCAAUUCAGCUGUCAGCGCCUGUGAAUAUGGUUAACACGAUGUAUUCUUUGUUUAGCUAUAGCAGUGUGCCUGUUUGUCAAUAUGCCAGUACUGAAGUGUACAAAAUGCAUGUUAUUCUGAUCCAGAAAUUUAUCGCGCUUUGUUUCCCGUGCAACAAAGGUGGAGGGAAUAGUAAAUACGUAGUAACAUGCGUAAAAAUUAGAAAUGUUGGCUGCGACAAAAGAAAGAAGGCGUUAACAUUUAUUUGUUGCACUGCACAGUACAAACUCGUAUGCCAAUCGUGAAAAAAUUGAAGUAACUAUUAGUAGACUUCGCUGUGGCAUUCUGGCACCCUCACCGAUUUGUCACAUGUGUAGUGAAGAUGAGACCAUAGAAAAUUUUUUUAAAUUCUUGUCGACGAUUUAUUAGCUUAAGUAAACGAACCCUACAAACACCACUCUGCUUUCUUCAAUUAGAUUUAACUGUUCAAAAUGUACUAUCUUUGGGUGCCCCUACACUUCGGCAUAGCGACAGGAAGGUUAGCGCUGCCAUCUAAGAUUUUCUUUUAGGAUCAAUGAGAUUUCAACUCUGAAUACAAAAUUUCAAGCUUCUUUUUCUUUCACUAAAAUUGAAUUUGAACUGUUUUAUUAUAAUUAUGGUAGAAUUUUCAUUUUCGUAAAAUCAUGCAGGCUCUAUAAUCUUUGCCUUUUGAUUAUUACUUACCUAUUAUGAAAUUUUGACCUAUUUUACACUUUCCUAUAAACUACCCAAUUCUUGGCCAAUCCCCCAGAGUGGGUACGUGCCACUAGGUCACAAGAAUCUACAUGUACAUCUACGUCUGAGUGCAUAGGUUGACAAGUCGCUCCUAUUUACUACUGAGCCCACGUGUGAAGCUUCGAAUACGUUAGUCCAGAGUAGAUGCAUGCCUACAACUCAAUGUGGUACUUUUUUCUGUCACAGAUGGGACGGUCAUCACAGGGAUAUUUCGAGAAUGUGACACUCACACGUCACCUGCCAUGGAGGCAACACCUGCGGACCUCGGCGCCGCACCGAUGGAGGAACGAUCCGGAUCCCCCGAGGCUGAACAUUGGAGUGCUCGGAGGACCCGGUUCCUCAUUUUACUAUACAAAGAGCUUAAUCCUCUCGUCGGGAAAAAAGGCGGCCUUAAGUAAGUUUCAUUUAUUUUCUCAUUGACGUGUUAACAAAAAAUUUAAUUUUAACUUUGUUUGCUUUGCCACUUGUGAGCAUAUUUCAGCAGCUUUUAAUGUGCUACAAUUGCCCAUUUUUAAUCCAUUACUUUUUUUUUUCACAGGACAAAAAAGGCCAUGUGGCAAGCAAUUGCUCUUAUGAUCACUACACAAUUCUCAGCUGUGAUGACUGAGCUGCAGGUGCAAAAUAAAUGGAAGAGCCUUGAACGCUCUUAUAAGAAGACGAAAACAAAAAACAAUUCAUCCGGACAAUCAACGGCUUCGUGUGAAUAUGAAGAAGAGCUAAGUGACGUUCUUGAAAAAGAACAUCACAUUACACCUACAGUGCUGAUGAAGCCUGGAGCAACAAUUGAAAAAGACAGCAGGUGCAGUUGCCUCAUUUUGACAGAAGUUUAGUUAUCCCCCUUAAUCCUGCACUUUGUUUUUCAGCAAGUCUCCCAGCGCUAAUGACGGCAUUGACAACAUGGAGCCAGAAUUGUCAACGGGCAAACCCCUGCCAAGCCCUGCAUCAGCUGCAGUUGUGAAUGCACACCCAAAGGAUGCCUUGCCAAGAAAAAAGGACAGCAGAUCGUUGAAUUCUCUUUUAAAAGAAUUUAAAGAGGCAAAGGAAGAGCGGGCCGAACGCUUUGACAGAAAAAUGGCCUUAUUAGAGCGGCUGGUUACAGCUGUUGAGAAGGUUGCCAAAACGGCUCCUGAAUAAAUAUUUCCAAAAAGAACAAA
RNAcentral lists this long non-coding RNA (2341 nucleotides) under Dermacentor andersoni. RNAcentral describes it as "uncharacterized LOC126526803". Lineage: Eukaryota; Metazoa; Arthropoda; Arachnida; Ixodida; Ixodidae. The record is from RNAcentral.